Pseudomonas agarici is the source of this 280-nucleotide regulatory RNA element. It matches the Rfam family "rne-II RNA". The record is from Rfam. Lineage: Bacteria; Pseudomonadati; Pseudomonadota; Gammaproteobacteria; Pseudomonadales; Pseudomonadaceae.
AUACGUGUAGGGUGGAGAUGCACAACCGUCGGACUGUGUAGCAUUAGGCUUGUUCAAGACGCUUCAUAUCGUCCACACCCGCGGUUGAUUCCUCCUCCUGACUCAGUUUUGCUUAAGCGGUGCUUAUCCCACCACAGCAAGCAGGAAGCGUCAGUCGCGACUUCGCCUGAAGGUCGAAAUCUCGCUAGACACGGGAGUGGCCAACCACUCCUGACGCACCUGACACCGACCGUGAGAAGUCGUGUGUGCCGAACGCCGUUUCCGGCAGCCCGGAAACCGA